Molecule: ribosomal RNA, 642 nt
Filed under: uncultured bacterium
Lineage: Bacteria
Description: bacterial SSU rRNA
Rfam family: Bacterial small subunit ribosomal RNA
Source: RNAcentral
UCAGAUUGAACGCUGGCGGCAGGCCUAACACAUGCAAGUCGAGCGGUAACAUUUCUAAGCUUGCUUAGAAGAUGACGAGCGGCGGACGGGUGAGUAAUGCUUGGGGAUCUGCCUGAUGGCGGGGGACAACCACUGGAAACGGUGGCUAAUACCGCAUAAUACCUAUGGGUCAAAGUGUGGGACCUUCGGGCCACACGCCAUCAGAUGAACCCAAGUGAGAUUAGCUGGUUGGUAAGGUAACGGCUUACCAAGGCGACGAUCUCUAGCUGGUCUGAGAGGAUGAUCAGCCACACUGGGACUGAGACACGGCCCAGACUCCUACGGGAGGCAGCAGUGGGGAAUAUUGGACAAUGGGGGCAACCCUGAUCCAGCCAUGCCGCGUGUGUGAAGAAGGCCUUCGGGUUGUAAAGCACUUUCAGUGGUGAGGAAGGUGGUGUCGUUAAUAGCGGCAUCAAUUGACGUUAGCCACAGAAGAAGCACCGGCUAACUCCGUGCCAGCAGCCGCGGUAAUACGGAGGGUGCGAGCGUUAAUCGGAAUUACUGGGCGUAAAGCGCACGUAGGCGGUAUGUUAAGCAAGAUGUGAAAGCCCAGAGCUCAACUCUGGAAUAGCAUUUUGAACUGGCAUGCUAGAGUUUUGGAGA